CCUUUACAAUGCACGAAAGUGUGAUAAGGCAACUCCUUGUGCUUAUCCAAAAGAUAGGCUUUUUUAGUAUGUAAUGUAUACUAAGAAUAAGUGAUGGGCAAGACCGGUGCCAGCAGCCGCGGGUAAUACCGGCGUCACAAGUGGAGAUCACGAUUACUGGGGUCUAAAAAUGUUCGUAGCUGGUCAUAUAAGUCUCUUGUGAAAGUUCUGUAGCUUAACUCAGAAUUGCAAAGAGAUACUGUAUGACUUGAGACCGGAAG
This 260-nucleotide ribosomal RNA is filed under the name uncultured euryarchaeote. RNAcentral describes it as "partial 16S ribosomal RNA". It matches the Rfam family "Archaeal small subunit ribosomal RNA", at positions 347 to 605 of the family's 1478-position model. The record is from RNAcentral. Lineage: Archaea; Methanobacteriati; Methanobacteriota.